UACAGAGGGUGCAAGCGUUAAUCGGAAUUACUGGGCGUAAAGCGCGCGUAGGUGGUUUGUUAAGUUGGGUGUGAAAGCCCCGGGCUCAACCUGGGAACUGCAUUCAAAACUGACAAGCUAGAGUGUGGUAGAGGGUGGUGGAAUUUCCUGUGUAGCAGUGAAAUGCGUAGAUAUCAAGAGGAACACCAGUGGCGAAGGCGAGUCCCUGGACGAUACCUGACACUGAGGCACGAAAGCCAAGGGAGCAAACAGG
Molecule: ribosomal RNA, 253 nt
Filed under: uncultured prokaryote
Description: partial 16S ribosomal RNA
Rfam family: Bacterial small subunit ribosomal RNA
Source: RNAcentral